AGAGUUUGAUCCUGGCUCAGAUUGAACGCUGGCGGCAUGCCUAACACAUGCAAGUCGAACGGAAACGAUGGGAGCUUGCUCCCAGGCGUCGAGUGGCGGACGGGUGAGUAACACAUAGGAAUCUGCCCAGUAGCGGGGGACAACUUGGGGAAACUCAAGCUAAUACCGCAUACGCCCUACGGGGGAAAGCAGGGGAUCUUCGGACCUUGCACUAUUGGAUGAGCCUAUGUCAGAUUAGCUUGUUGGUGGGGUAACGGCCUACCAAGGCGACGAUCUGUAGCUGGUCUGAGAGGACGAUCAGCCACACUGGGACUGAGACACGGCCCAGACUCCUACGGGAGGCAGCAGUGGGGAAUAUUGCACAAUGGGCGAAAGCCUGAUGCAGCAAUGCCGCGUGUGUGAAGAAGGCCUGCGGGUUGUAAAGCACUUUCAGUAGGGAGGAAACAGUUACGGGUUAAUAUCCCGUAGCCUUGACGUUACCUACAGAAGAAGCACCGGCUAACUCUGUGCCAGCAGCCGCGGUAAUACAGAGGGUGCGAGCGUUAAUCGGAAUUACUGGGCGUAAAGCGCGCGUAGGCGGCUUGGUCAGUCGGAUGUGAAAGCCCCGGGCUUAACCUGGGAAUUGCAUUCGAUACUGCCAGGCUAGAAUGUAGUAGAGGGAAGUGGAAUUCCGGGUGUAGCGGUGAAAUGCGUAGAUAUCCGGAGGAACAUCAGUGGCGAAGGCGACUUCCUGGACUAACAUUGACGCUGAGGUGCGAAAGCGUGGGGAGCAAACAGGAUUAGAUACCCUGGUAGUCCACGCCGUAAACGAUGUCAACUAGAUGUUGGGGGGUUUAACCCUUUAGUAUCGCAGCUAACGCAUUAAGUUGACCGCCUGGGGAGUACGGCCGCAAGGCUAAAACUCAAAGAAAUUGACGGGGGCCCGCACAAGCGGAGGAGCAUGUGGCUUAAUUCGAUGCAACGCGAAGAACCUUACCAGGGCUUGACAUGCAGCUGCUCAUCCGGUGAAAGCCGGACUCUUUCGAAGGUGCUGCACAGGUGCUGCAUGGCUGUCGUCAGUUCGUGCCGUGAGGUGUUGGGUUGAGUCCCGCAACGAACGCAACCCCUGUGGUUAGUUGCCACCGUCGGUGAUGAGCCGGCGAGCACUCUAGCCAGACUGCCCGUACAAGCGGGAGGAAGGUGGGGACGACGUCAAGUCAGUAUGGCCCUUACGCCCUGGGCUGCACACGUGCUACAAUGGGAGGUAUAGAGGGAAGCAAGACCGCGAGGUGGAGCAAAUCCCCAAAACCUUCCCCAGUUCGGAUUGGAGUCUGCAACUCGACUCCAUGAAGUCGGAUUCGCUAGUGACGGCGUAUCAGCUACGACGCCGUGAAUACGUUCCCGGGCCUUGUACACACCGCCCGUCACAUCAUGAAAGCCGUCUGCACCCGAAGUCGCUGAGCCAACCCGUCAAGGGAGGCAGGUGCCGAAGGUGUGGGUGGUGAUUGGGAUGAAGUCGUAACAAGGUA
RNAcentral lists this ribosomal RNA (1508 nucleotides) under metagenome. RNAcentral describes it as "bacterial SSU rRNA". It matches the Rfam family "Bacterial small subunit ribosomal RNA". The record is from RNAcentral.